This 582-nucleotide ribosomal RNA is filed under the name metal-contaminated soil clone K20-50. Its description in RNAcentral is "bacterial SSU rRNA". It matches the Rfam family "Bacterial small subunit ribosomal RNA", at positions 55 to 658 of the family's 1533-position model. Lineage: Bacteria; Pseudomonadati; Pseudomonadota; Alphaproteobacteria. The record is from RNAcentral.
AUGCAAGUCGAACGCAUGGAUUGGUUCGCUGGGGCCAUGAGUGGCGCACGGGUGAGUAGCGCGUGGGAACCUGCCCUGGAGUGGGGGAUAACCGAGGGAAACUUCGGCUAAUACCGCAUACGCCCCGGUCUUGAGAGAGAUUGGGGGAAAGAUUUAUCGCUCCAGGAGGGGCCCGCGUCGGAUUAGCUAGUUGGUGGGGUAACGGCCUACCAAGGCGAUGAUCCGUAGCUGGUCUGAGAGGAUGAUCAGCCACACUGGGACUGAGACACGGCCCAGACUCCUACGGGAGGCAGCAGUGGGGAAUAUUGGACAAUGGGGGCAACCCUGAUCCAGCAAUGCCGCGUGAGUGAGGAAGGCCUUCGGGUUGUAAAGCUCUUUCGCACGCGACGAUGAUGACGGUAGCGUGAGAAGAAGCCCCGGCUAACUUCGUGCCAGCAGCCGCGGUAAUACGAAGGGGGCGAGCGUUGUUCGGAACUACUGGGCGUAAAGGGCGCGCAGGCGGCGAGUUUUGUCAGGCGUGAAAGCCCCGGGCUCAACCUGGGAAUUGCGCUUGAAACGGGCUUGCUUGAGACCGGGAGAGGA